This is a long non-coding RNA of Acipenser ruthenus (sterlet), 2165 nucleotides long. RefSeq lists it as uncharacterized. The record is from RefSeq and is a predicted model, not a curated record. The transcript has 3 exons. NCBI's taxonomy places the organism in Eukaryota, Metazoa, Chordata, Actinopteri, Acipenseriformes, Acipenseridae.
UAGCUCACCCUGUUAAAAAGAAAGCAAAAAUAAACAUGUAAGUCUUGUAUUCAAUGCUUUAGUGCUUCAUGUUUUUUAAUUCAAAGGGAAGUUUAUUAAGAGUGCAUAAAUUAUAUGGGAAGGAGAUGCCAGAGCCCUCUGAGUGACGGAUUACAGGACACUAAAACAGUGACGAAAGCUGUACAGGAAACAGGAAAAAAAUACAUACCUUGGCACAAGAACGACAUUUUAGCCCCUCCUGCAGCUUCAGAAUCCUUUGGCUGCAUCUCCAGCACAGUGCGGAACAGUUUUUCAGAGGUGAUGGUCAGAAAGCCAAUCUCAGCAUUUGGGUGUAAGCCAUACAAGUAUGGGCUUUCAGGAGGCAGCAUAUCAUCCAAAUAUGCAUGGUACCCCUGUGAAACACCAAGUGUUAUCAGAACUGAGCCUGUUCAGCAACAUUGGUUGAAAAAUUGGUGUGACAUUACUCACCUUAUAAUCAGAGUUGGGUGGGGCUAGGAACCCUGGAGCCAACUGCAGCUCCCCUUCCAACAGUUCAGGACGGACAUACUCCUCAAGGUACGUCUUACAAAGCUUGCGGUCCCAGUCAUCUGUGAUGUGGCCACCAUACAUAAUCUCACCAAACAGAUAGCGCAGAUCAUCCCAGGGAACCUACGGAUGCAAGACAAUGAGAAUGGAUAUUUAAGGGAUGGCUUUAAAUCACAUUCCUGUGUAAGCUUAUAUGGAAUUUUUCAUUUCUUAAAUUUAUUUUAUGCCAUUUUUUGUAAAAGGAGAACUAGUUAUUUUAUUGAAUGUGUUACCUUUGGAUUAGCUUCCAGGUAGUUGAAUAGCACAUUGACUGAAAUGGUAAGGUCACCGUUAUUAAAGGGAUAGGACCGGUUCCAGCCUUGAGCACCGAAUUUCCGUCUCUCAGCCACAACAGCAUGGAAAUAACAGAGUGAGAACAGGAUGCACUUGAACUCUGACUCCUUGGUGCACAUGUCUAAAGUAUCCUAAAAAACAACAUUUUUUGUAGUUUAAAAUUCCUAAACAUAUGCUGUAGUUAUUGUAUGAAGUUUACAUGUAUCUGAAUGACUAAAUAAACUAGAAUAAGUGUUGCUAUAUUCUGUUGAUGAUCCUUCCAAUUGAAUAAAUGGUUGGAAGUGCAUAAUCAUGUCAUUUAAAACAGUAUAACAAACAAAAUAUCACAAUUAUAAUGGUAAAACACCAUUGUUGAUUAGUGUUAACCUGGUCAAACAGAUCCAGUGCUUUGUGUAGGUUGGCAUGCAUUCCCGUUGGAGGCUCAUUGGUAAUUUUAAUGGCAUUUUCCAGCAAUCCCUGUGGGAUAAUGUGACUAUCAGGUGUAGGUGCGGGCUCUGCGCUCAUGUAUACUCGGUAGUCAUUAUGGCUCCCUGUGCUGUACAACUCCACUUUUUUAUCCAGAGUACCUAACCAUUUUGCCACCAGGUGGAUAUUCUGAAAAUAAAACAUUUUGGUAAAUGAACAAAAUGUAAACAUUUCAGUUCAUUAUGAAUCUGAUUACAAUGGCUAACCCAGGAAAGAAUUAACAUAAUUUAAAAAGCAGGGCCCCUGCUUGUAACCACUAACAGACCUUAGACUUUGGAUCUUCUUAAGCUCUUUAUUUAUCAAGCCAUAAGCGAGGCUUUGGUGUCAGUGGGUUCUCUUCAGGAUAAAGAUACAUGCAAGUGCUCGUGCUAAUAUUCUUGACUUGUCGGUCUGAUCCCUUAUCACAUGUUGAACUUCUGUAUAGAAUAUUCUGUAACGAGUAGGAAGCUACGCUGUGUACAUACAGCACGUUGAAUAGUUUUCCUCCUCCUCACAUUUCCCUGUUCUCAUACCUGCAGAAUAACCCAGUGUCCUUUCUUAGCAGCAGCAUCCAUAGCAUUCUCUGCAACCACUUCCUGGCCCUGACCCAGAGACACAUUGUGGAAUUUACAAUUGUCAAAUGUAAAGCCUAACUUCUUGCCUAUGAUAAAAUAAAGGACAUUUCCCAGUCACUCUAUGAGUUCAACAAUGUUAAGAAGAUCUGCAGCAGACUUUAUGGAGAAACUGGGAUUUAAACAGCACACCUACCCAGUGCCUCUACAUCCUUCAAUGGGUCAACUCCAGGUGAAAGGAUAAAGAACAUGGGAGUUGAGGAGCUGCUCUCUUCAUAGGAUUUAGAAAAU